CCUGGGUGGGGGGGUUGGCUGAACCUUGUAGGGGAUAUGAGCUUCGAUCAAGGGGCACAGUGCAAGCAGGUGGCACGGGCAGCGGGCUGGAAGCAUGGAGCUCUUUUCCUCUCUGAUUUAUCUUGAAGAUGAAGACUUAUCCAUGAUCAGAUUCCAAUCCAGAUGUGUGACUUCAAGAAUUCAGUGAUGUGCACCUUUAAAAUGCGAUUUAACCCAUGACCAAAGCAGCUGAACAGUGGCAAAGGCCCAGUUGCUAAUAUCUGGAGAACAAUGAUGGGAGCUGCACCUGUGUCUGAUGACGGAGUCUUCCCCUUUUGGGACCAACAGUUGGGAUGAGGCUGCUAGAUCCAACCUAAAUCGGGAACCGAGACUAGAGGUUUACCCUUGGCUGUGUCACUUCGUAGGUCUCUCCUUUGAAGAAUCCUUUCUUCCAAGGAAUCUCAAGUACUUGCAAGGAGAUUGGAUGCUGCCCCAGCUCUGGUUCCAGCAGGAAUAA
RNAcentral lists this long non-coding RNA (496 nucleotides) under Vulpes vulpes (red fox). Its description in RNAcentral is "lncRNA (ENSVVUG00000008493.1)". The record is from RNAcentral. Lineage: Eukaryota; Metazoa; Chordata; Mammalia; Carnivora; Canidae.